UUGUAGGAUAUAGGCCCACAGAUCAUUUAUUAUUUAAUUUCGAAAAUGCCUAUUUUAAGUGGAAGCACAAACACGCUGUUUUUUUGUGCGUUGUCUUUUUAAAUGCAAAUGAGCUGCUGCUCCGUGCCCCCUUUUCCAGAAUAGAGCUGCA
Molecule: long non-coding RNA, 151 nt
Organism: Sinocyclocheilus grahami
Lineage: Eukaryota; Metazoa; Chordata; Actinopteri; Cypriniformes; Cyprinidae
Exons: 3
Source: RefSeq, a predicted model, not a curated record